CCUACGGGUGGCAGCAGUGAGGAAUAUUGGUCAAUGGGCGGAAGCCUGAACCAGCCAAGUAGCGUGCAGGAUGACGGCCCUACGGGUUGUAAACUGCUUUUAUACGGGAAUAACGCGCCUUACGUGUAGGGCUUUGCAUGUACCGUAUGAAUAAGGACCGGCUAAUUCCGUGCCAGCAGCCGCGGUAAUACGGAAGGUCCGGGCGUUAUCCGGAUUUCUUGGGUUUAAAGGGAGCGUAGGCGGCAUGUCAAGCGUGCUGUGAAAUGUCCGGGCUCAACCCGGGCCUUGCAGCGCGAACUGGCGUGCUGGAGUCCGCGGAAGGCAGGCGGAAUUCGUCGUGUAGCGGUGAAAUGCUUAGAUAUUGCGCAGAACUCCGAUGGCGAAGGCAGCAUACCGGCGGCGAUCUGACGCUGAGGCACGAAAGCGUGGGUAUCGAACAGGAUUAGAUACCCUUGUAGUC
RNAcentral lists this ribosomal RNA (460 nucleotides) under uncultured bacterium. RNAcentral's name for it is "partial 16S ribosomal RNA". It matches the Rfam family "Bacterial small subunit ribosomal RNA", at positions 338 to 795 of the family's 1533-position model. The record is from RNAcentral.